AAGGUACUUGACUAUCACUUUUAUAAGCUUCUCCUUGGUUCUGGCGUUUAUAUAAAUAAAAGAGACAAACAUGUAUGAUUUACAACUCUAGAUUAACCAACCCAACUGAUUCAACAUGUUUAGUCCUUUAAUCCUUGUUCUUAGUACUACCUCCAUGAUCCCACACUCCUAACCAUAUGAGCUAAAAUGUUACACAUUCAAUCAUUGAGAGAUAUAAAGAAAAAGACAUAUACAUAGAUAGAUUAUCUU
This 249-nucleotide long non-coding RNA is filed under the name Sorghum bicolor (sorghum). RNAcentral describes it as "long non-coding RNA (SBIC_LNC014197)". Lineage: Eukaryota; Viridiplantae; Streptophyta; Magnoliopsida; Poales; Poaceae. The record is from RNAcentral.